RNAcentral lists this ribosomal RNA (761 nucleotides) under Prevotella melaninogenica. Its description in RNAcentral is "bacterial SSU rRNA". It matches the Rfam family "Bacterial small subunit ribosomal RNA", at positions 28 to 776 of the family's 1533-position model. The record is from RNAcentral. Lineage: Bacteria; Pseudomonadati; Bacteroidota; Bacteroidia; Bacteroidales; Prevotellaceae.
GAUGAACGCUAGCUACAGGCUUAACACAUGCAAGUCGAGGGGAAACGGCAUUGAGUGCUUGCACUCUUUGGACGUCGACCGGCGCACGGGUGAGUAACGCGUAUCCAACCUUCCCAUGACUAAGGGAUAACCUGCCGAAAGGCAGACUAAUACCUUAUGGUCUUCACUGACGGCAUCAGAUGUGAAGUAAAGAUUUAUCGGUUAUGGAUGGGGAUGCGUCUGAUUAGUUAGUUGGCGGGGUAACGGCCCACCAAGGCAACGAUCAGUAGGGGUUCUGAGAGGAAGGUCCCCCACAUUGGAACUGAGACACGGUCCAAACUCCUACGGGAGGCAGCAGUGAGGAAUAUUGGUCAAUGGGCGAGAGCCUGAACCAGCCAAGUAGCGUGCAGGACGACGGCCCUAUGGGUUGUAAACUGCUUUUGUAUGGGGAUAAAGUCAAUCACGUGUGAUUGUUUGCAGGUACCAUACGAAUAAGGACCGGCUAAUUCCGUGCCAGCAGCCGCGGUAAUACGGAAGGUCCGGGCGUUAUCCGGAUUUAUUGGGUUUAAAGGGAGCGUAGGCUGGAGAUUAAGUGUGUUGUGAAAUGUAGACGCUCAACGUCUGACUUGCAGCGCAUACUGGUUUCCUUGAGUACGCACAACGUUGGCGGAAUUCGUCGUGUAGCGGUGAAAUGCUUAGAUAUGACGAAGAACUCCGAUUGCGAAGGCAGCUGACGGGAGCGCAACUGACGCUGAAGCUCGAAGGUGCGGGUAUCGAACAGG